UACGGGGGGGGCAAGCGUUGUUCGGAAUUACUGGGCGUAAAGGGCUUGUAGGUGGCCAACUAAGUCAGACGUGAAAUCCCUCAGCUUAACUGGGGAACUGCUUCUGAUACUGGAUGGCUUGAGUUUGGGAGAGGGAUGCGGAAUUCCGGGUGUAGCGGUGGAAUGCGUAGAGAUCCGGAAGAACACCGGUGGCGAAGGCGGCCUGCUGGGCAGUAGCUGACGCUGAAGCGCGACAGCGUGGGGAGCAAACAGG
Molecule: ribosomal RNA, 253 nt
Filed under: uncultured bacterium
Lineage: Bacteria
Description: partial 16S ribosomal RNA
Rfam family: Bacterial small subunit ribosomal RNA
Source: RNAcentral